AGCGAACGCUGGCGGCAGGCUUAACACAUGCAAGUCGAACGCCCCGCAAGGGGAGUGGCAGACGGGUGAGUAACACGCGGGAACGUACCCUUUGGUUCGGAAUAACUUGGGGAAACUCAAGCUAAUACCGGAUAAGCCCUUAUGGGGAAAGGUUUACUGCCGAAGGAUCGGCCCGCGUCUGAUUAGCUAGUUGGUGAGGUAAUGGCUCACCAAGGCGACGAUCAGUAGCUGGUCUGAGAGGAUGAUCAGCCACACUGGGACUGAGACACGGCCCAGACCCCUACGGGAGGCAGCAGUGGGGAAUAUUGGACAAUGGGGGCAACCCUGAUCCAGCCAUGCCGCGUGAGUGUUGAAGGCCUUAGGGUUGUAAAGCUCUUUUACCCGGGACGAUAAUGACUGUACCGGGAGAAUAAGCCCCGGCUAACUUCGUGCCAGCCGCCGCGGUAA
RNAcentral lists this ribosomal RNA (447 nucleotides) under uncultured bacterium. RNAcentral's name for it is "partial 16S ribosomal RNA". It matches the Rfam family "Bacterial small subunit ribosomal RNA", at positions 29 to 523 of the family's 1533-position model. The record is from RNAcentral.